AACGAACGCUGGCGGCAGGCUUAACACAUGCAAGUCGAACGCACCUUUCGGGGUGAGUGGCAGACGGGUGAGUAACGCGUGGGAAUCUACCCUUCUCUACGGGAUAGCUCCGGGAAACUGGAAUUAAUACCGUAUACGUCCUGAGGGAGAAAGAUUUAUCGGGGAAGGAUGAGCCCGCGUUGGAUUAGCUAGUUGGUGGGGUAAAGGCCUACCAAGGCGACGAUCCAUAGCUGGUCUAAGAGGAUGAUCAGCCACAUUGGGACUGAGACACGGCCCAAACUCUUACGAGCGGCAGCAGUAGGGAAUAUUGGACAAUGGGCGCAAGCCUGAUCCAGCCAUGCCGCGUGAGUGAUGAAGGCCCUAGGGUUGUAAAGCUCUUUCAGUGGGGACGAUAAUGACGGUACCCACAGAAGAAGCCCCGGCUAACUUCGUG
This 433-nucleotide ribosomal RNA is filed under the name uncultured bacterium. RNAcentral describes it as "partial 16S ribosomal RNA". It matches the Rfam family "Bacterial small subunit ribosomal RNA", at positions 29 to 507 of the family's 1533-position model. The record is from RNAcentral.